GGGACACGUGGUAUCCUGUCUGAAUAUGGGGGGACCAUCCUCCAAGGCUAAAUACUCCUGACUGACCGAUAGUGAACCAGUACCGUGAGGGAAAGGCGAAAAGAACCCCGGCGAGGGGAGUGAAAAAGAACCUGAAACCGUGUACGUACAAGCAGUGGGAGCACGCUUCGGCGUGUGACUGCGUACCUUUUGUAUAAUGGGUCAGCGACUUAUAUUCUGUAGCAAGGUUAACCGAAUAGGGGAGCCGAAGGGAAACCGAGUCUUAACUGGGCGUUAAGUUGCAGGGUAUAGACCCGAAACCCGGUGAUCUAGCCAUGGGCAGGUUGAAGGUUGGGUAACACUAACUGGAGGACCGAACCGACUAAUGUUGAAAAAUUAGCGGAUGACUUGUGGCUGGGGGUGAAAGGCCAAUCAAACCGGGAGAUAGCUGGUUCUCCCCGAAAGCUAUUUAGGUAGCGCCUCGUGAAUUCAUCUCCGGGGGUAGAGCACUGUUUCGGCAAGGGGGUCAUCCCGACUUACCAACCCGAUGCAAACUGCGAAUACCGGAGAAUGUUAUCACGGGAGACACACGGCGGGUGCUAACGUCCGUCGUGAAGAGGGAAACAACCCAGACCGCCAGCUAAGGUCCCAAAGUCAUGGUUAAGUGGGAAACGAUGUGGGAAGGCCCAGACAGCCAGGAUGUUGGCUUAGAAGCAGCCAUCAUUUAAAGAAAGCGUAAUAGCUCACUGGUCGAGUCGGCCUGCGCGGAAGAUGUAACGGGGCUAAACCAUGCACCGAAGCUGCGGCAGCGACACUAUGUGUUGUUGGGUAGGGGAGCG
This 818-nucleotide ribosomal RNA is filed under the name Escherichia coli. RNAcentral describes it as "partial 23S ribosomal RNA". It matches the Rfam family "Bacterial large subunit ribosomal RNA", at positions 419 to 1238 of the family's 2925-position model. Lineage: Bacteria; Pseudomonadati; Pseudomonadota; Gammaproteobacteria; Enterobacterales; Enterobacteriaceae. The record is from RNAcentral.